Molecule: unclassified non-coding RNA, 438 nt
Filed under: Hevea brasiliensis (rubber tree)
Lineage: Eukaryota; Viridiplantae; Streptophyta; Magnoliopsida; Malpighiales; Euphorbiaceae
Source: RNAcentral
CUCUCCAAAUUUGUCAAACCUUUCAGGUGUACCAAACAUGCAUCUGUGAUGUCACUGAAGCCCAAGUUUAGCACCUUUAGUUUUCUGAGCUUGGAAAAACCCUCACAUCCUUCAUCAGAAAGAUGGCAUCUGUUAAGAUUCAAAUACGACAGUGAAGCAAGAGCUGAGAGAGUAUCCAAGCAUGCAGCCGUGACAGGGCACCCUUCUAAGUUUAACAGAUUAAGAAAUAAGAAAUGCCGAUAUCCGUAACCUUGCUGCAGGAGAUUUGUAAUACUUUCAAAUUCGUCAACCCAGAAAGAUGCUUUAUAUCAGCAUCCGUUAUGCUCACCAUUUGAUAUUAAGUGACUCCAACUUUGUCAACCCUUUCAGAUGAACAAGUCCACCUCCAAUGCCAGGACACCUCUCCAAAUCCAAUUUCACCAAGUUAACUAAGCUAGC